GAUGAACGUUGGCGGCGUGCCUAAUACAUGCAAGUCGAACGAAGACUGUAGUAAUACUGUCUUAGUGGCGAACGGGUGAGUAACGCGUGGGUGACCUGCCCCGAAGUGUGGGAUAACAGUCCGAAAGGAUUGCUAAUACUGCAUAAUAUCCAAGAGAUUAGAUGCUUUUGGAUUAAAGGAGUAAUUCGCUUCGGGAGGGGCCCGCGUCCCAUCAGCUAGUUGGUAAGGUAAUGGCUUACCAAGGCGAUGACGGGUAGGGGACCUGAGAGGGUGGCCCCCCACAAUGGAACUGAAACACGGUCCAUACACCUACGGGUGGCAGCAGUAGGGAAUAUUAGUAAUGGGCGAAAGCCUGAACUAGCAACGCCGCGUGUGCGAAGAAGGCCUUGGUCGUAAAGCACUUUUUGAGAGGAUGAGGAAGGACGGUAACUCUCAGAAUAAGUACUCGGCUAACUACGUG
Molecule: ribosomal RNA, 460 nt
Filed under: uncultured bacterium
Lineage: Bacteria
Description: bacterial SSU rRNA
Rfam family: Bacterial small subunit ribosomal RNA
Source: RNAcentral